Molecule: ribosomal RNA, 468 nt
Filed under: uncultured bacterium
Lineage: Bacteria
Description: partial 16S ribosomal RNA
Rfam family: Bacterial small subunit ribosomal RNA
Source: RNAcentral
GACGAACGCUGGCGGCGUGCUUAACACAUGCAAGUCGAACGGAAAGGCCCUGCUUUUGUUGGGUGCUCGAGUGUCGAACGGGUGUGUAACACGUGAGUACCCUGCCCUUGACUCUGUGAUAACUUCAUUAAACUCGGGCUAAUAUCGGGUAUGCGCUCCUGCUGCAUGUUGUGUGUUGGAAAGUUUCGGCGGUUGGGGAUGUACUCGCGGCUUAUCAGCUUGUUGGUGGGGUAGUGGCUUACCAAGGCUUUGACGGGUAGCCGGCCUGAGAGGGUGACCGGCCACACUGGGACUGAGAUACGGCCCAGACUCCUACGGGAGGCAGCAGUGGGGAAUAUUGCACAAUGGGCGGAAGCCUGAUGCAGCAACGCCGCGUGAGGGAUGACGGCCUUCGGGUUGUAAACCGCUUUCGGCAGGGAAGAAGCGAGAGUGACGGUAAUGGGUAAAGAAGCACCGGCUAACUACGUG